RNAcentral lists this unclassified non-coding RNA (3403 nucleotides) under Hevea brasiliensis (rubber tree). The record is from RNAcentral. Lineage: Eukaryota; Viridiplantae; Streptophyta; Magnoliopsida; Malpighiales; Euphorbiaceae.
UCUUUUCUUGAAACAUGAAAACUAGCAGAAAAAUCAGCAAUAGCUGUUAGUAUUUUUUUGAAUUUAAAUUAGUUGUAACAAUCCAAAGAAUGGGCAACAAUGCAGGAAAAUUUGUCAGCUUCUUUUGUAUGAAUAAAUCUGUUGGUUGAAUAAAAUUUCAUCACUGCAAUUAUCAAAUCUUUCUGGUCCUUUUCUCUAUUUUAUUGUUGUUCUUACUUCAAAACUAAAAACUCUCUCUACAGUGAACAAUAACAAAACCUUUUAAACCACCUUUUGAUCCAACAUACUUUUAAUAAUUUCAGAUUCACAUGCCUACUUGCUCAUUAGUUAACUACUCCCUCCAAAGUAAUGCAUCAAGCCUACUUUAUCAUUAGUCCAUUACUCCCUCCGAAGCAAUCUUCUAAAUAAACGGCGCUUACGAGCUCUGGUCUUGAGAUCUUUCAAUCUGCCAGCUAGAUAUAAUGCUUCCUCUGCAAUGGGUCUCCAUUGUUCUGCGCAUGAGAAGUUGAUUCCAAGACCAACACUAAGACCUCUUAAAAGAUGCACUGUACGAAGAACAGAAAACAGCUCUUCUGGAAAAGCCUACCAUAGCCAAUACAUAAGAAUAAGAAAAUUGUAAAGUUAGAAAAGAAUAAUGGUGCACAGAUUAUCCAAUCUAUCUUCUCCUUCUUCUCUUCUUUUAAGCAUCAUUAUCAAAGCAAAACAGGGCGUGAAGUCAUGAGCCUAAGUUAUCAGGGCACUAAUUCACAACAAACCUGCUCUGUUACACCCCAGUUCCUUUCCUCAAGUGAUCCAGAAAAGACCAACUAAUGCUUACCUGAACACUGAUCUUUUUAAUUGAAGAGUCCUCUGAGAAAGGCUGCAACAUUGCUACUCCAGGGGGUAGUUUAGUAUCAAACAUAGUUUGUGCCAACUUAAGCAAUUCCUGUAGUUCAUUCUCACAUUUGCUCUGCGUAACAAUGCCAAGCUCUCUAAAAUGGGAAAAACAGCAAUGUGAGCAAAGUGCACAAAGCAGUCCAAUAAUUCACUAUGAUAUAGGCAUGAUUAUCGAACUAAAGGUAAAGGUGACAACUGAAUUCUACUAUUCAAGCAUUAGCAUUAUUGAACAAGAUCUCUUUUUAACCAUCCAACCAUGAGGACCUAUUGCUAAUACAUGCAAUAAGAUGCCCUUGUAGCCCAUCAUUUUUGUCCUCAGUUUCUUGGCAUGUGCUGGCAAACCAAUAGAAAAUCCUCUGCAUGAAUUUGAAGCAACUACAAUGUGCAAUGAUUACCUGUAACUCUCUGAUACUCUUAUAGGGUCAUUAUCAGCCAUAGCAAGUACCAAAUUAGCAUAUCCAAGCCUCAACGAAUCUGGGAGAUCCUUAACUUGACCAUAAUCUAACAAGGCAACCUGACUUGAGGAAGAAAAAAACAUACAAUUAAGUCUGGUUGCACAUCAAACAUGCAUGAUUAAACGAGGUGGAAGAUUAUCCACUUAUUUAUAUAAUUUCACAUUUAAUGUGAAGUAAUAAUCAGAAAGAGUAGCUAUCAGGCAUCAUCAACAUCAAUCAUAAGAAUACAGUAAAAAGAAGAUCAUAUGACACAAUCAAGAACAAGAAAGAAAGUUAAAAGCAAACAAAUGGUCGCCGACUUGCCUCAGAACCUUUGCAUAUUAAGAUAUUUCCUGGAUGAGGAUCUGCAUGGAAGAAACCGCUCUUCAAUAUCAUUUGUCCAUAUGCUAGUGUCAUACUUUUAAGUAUGUUCCUGCACUCACAUAAAUUUUAACGAGUGUGUCAUGCUUCCCCUAGCUGUUCAAAGAAAGACUGCUAAUCUAUUUCAAAGAGCAGCCAGGUCUGAAACAAAAAUCGUGUUCCAAUAAGAAUUAUUUCAAGAAAUUAAAUCAGUAAAUUCAGGAGAGAAAAAAGUUUAGGAACAAAAAGCCAUCUGCAAAAAGGACUGUAUACUCUUUGAGAUGAUCUAAGAGCUUACUGCUUUGCUGUCAUUGCAAUCUUACUACCAGGAUUUAUUCCCCUUUUGGCUAUUUCAUCACCAAGAUUCAGGAUUGGGAUUCCAUCAAUGUACUCCAUCACUAAGACCCUCCUGGUGACCAUAUCCUUCAGCACUCGUGGCACCAAAACAGGACUUUUUUUGUUAUUCUCAUACAAAAAACGACGGAUUCUCUCCAUAGCAUUAGCCUCCCUCACGAAGUCAAAUUCAUAUCCAAUCUGUUUCUCCAUUUCUUUAGUCACAGAGUACAGAUCAAAUUUGAUAUCUGUCUUUUGCAUGUAUAAAGCGAAUGCUUGUAAGUUCCGAAUAUCUGUCAUCAUCAGCUCCUUGACCCCUGGAUGUUGCACCUUGACGACAACAUCACUCUUAUCACCUUUCAGUCUUGCUCGAUGGACCUAAUUUGGUUUAAAAAAUUUACACUUCAAUUACAAACAGCUAAAUUCUAAGUAGUAUAUUUCUCAUUCUUAUUUAAAAUUCCAUCACAUAUUGUGAGACCACCAUUUUUCCUACAUAGCAUUGAGACAAGGCUUCAUAACAGAGUAAAAUGAAGUUUUAAGGGAGUUCUAAUAACAAACUACAAAGACCACAAUCCUUCCAUGCUUCUUGUACAUUCUGUUCACUCUUGGUGGCAUUGAAUAGCUUAUCAAAAUACUUUGGAACGAUCUCUCUCAGCUUCCAGCCUUCCACUUAAGAAAUUUGAAAACUGAAUUUGUCUACCGAUAAUAAACAUUUUUUUUGCAAGCUAACACAUGAGUAUACUACUCAUUACCCAAAAAGAAAAUUACCACAACACAGUUGUCUGUUUUCAAGAUCACAAAAGUUACAAGCACAAAAUCAACUUUUGUUCUAACAGAUAUCAUUUAUCAAUAGCAUUUUUUUUUUUUUUAUGUUUCUCAUAAUGCCUUCAAGAACAAAACUGCCUUCAGCAUGCCAAAAACUCAGGUACAAAAAUUUCUACUUUUCUAGCCAGGCAGAUAUUUUAGAUGAAAUACAUUACCUGAGCAAUUGAAGCAGAACCAAGAGGUUCUUCUUCAAAAUUUUCAAAAAUUUCUCCAACACUUUGACCUAAUUCCUUCUUCAGCACAAGUUGAACAGUAUCAAAUGGUGUUGCCGGAGCUCUGUCGAACAGUGUAACAAGCCUUCUCACCCACGCAGAUGGGGCCAAGUCAGGCUUUCCAAUGAUUUGGGCGAUCUUAAGGAAGAACCCACCAAGAUCAGAGCACAUAGCAUAAAUCUUGUCAGCAGCCAGGUCAUGCUGCCUUUCCCACAUUUCCUCCUGCUUCUGCAAAUCCUUCACCAAACUCACUCGAAGUUGAAACACCUUAUAUCCAGUGUAGAUGUCAGCUGCGCGAACCCAGAACUGAAAGGAGCGAUGAAAGGGUCUAAAGUGAGUAGAGAGCUUAUCCUGAAUGUCUUU